Molecule: long non-coding RNA, 746 nt
Filed under: Lepidothrix coronata (blue-crowned manakin)
Lineage: Eukaryota; Metazoa; Chordata; Aves; Passeriformes; Pipridae
Description: lncRNA (ENSLCOG00000004716.1)
Source: RNAcentral
GACUGCCUCAAUGGCAAUGCUACAGCCUCUGUUGCUUCCGUUUACAUGCACAUCACCAGCAUCCUGUAGGCAGGUACAAGAAAAAAACCUGUUGAGCUGUGCCUUUUCCUGCCGCUUUCACACCCUCUGUCCUGAUGUGGACUGUGCCUGCUGCCAGCCAGGCAGCAACUGAAAAGCAUCAGGGAAUCACAUUACGUUAGAUCCUUCCAGCUUCGAGUAAUUAACUCAGUGCAUUUUAUAGAACUGGGAUGAUUUUGAAGAAACUCCAAUGGAAUAUAUAGACAAUUCCCUGGCAAUCAGCAAAGCAGUAGCAGUUCAUGGAUCUCCCCUUCACAAACCUUGAAUUAGCUUUCAUCUUGCUGGCUUUUGUCAUUUUCACCUUGUUUACCCUGGCUUCUAUCUACAGUGACUCCCAUGACAACAAAGAAGAGGAAAACUAUGCACAGGAAGGAUACGAGAAAAGGAGCAAAUCCAAGAAGAAAAAGAAAUGUUCAAGUAUGACUGAAGUGGUAUAGAAUACUACCCAGGUCCACUGUUGGAAACACUUCUGAAAGAGGCAGCUCUGGAAGCUGGUCACCUGAAGACAGUGAGAAAACGGAUGUGAGAAAGGAAGGACCUGAUCAUCCAUCAGAUGGAAUCCAGACGUGACAAUUAGAGUUAAUGAACCACGACCCAUGAAGCUGCCUCAGCACCUUUUUACAACCCCACUUCAUGGCCUUAAUAAAAGUACCAGGGCUUAUUUUACA